Molecule: ribosomal RNA, 646 nt
Filed under: Saturnia japonica arisana
Lineage: Eukaryota; Metazoa; Arthropoda; Insecta; Lepidoptera; Saturniidae
Description: eukaryotic LSU rRNA
Rfam family: Eukaryotic large subunit ribosomal RNA
Source: RNAcentral
UACCACGGAGUCUAGCAUGUGUGCGAGUCAUUGAGUCAUAUCCUAUAGAUAAAACUGAAAGGCGCAACGAAAGUGAAGGCGGACGCUCGCCGUCCGCUCAGGGAGGAUGGAGUUACGAUCUAGGUCGGAACUCUCGCACUCCCGAGGCGUCUCGUUUCCAAUCAGUGAAUGCAGGCGCGCUCUGAGCACAGAUGCUGGGACCCGAAAGAUGGUGAACUAUGCCUGGUCAGGUCGAAGUCAGGGGAAACCCUGAUGGAGGACCGUAGCGAUUCUGACGUGCAAAUCGAUCGUCGGAACUGGGUAUAGGGGCGAAAGACUAAUCGAACCAUCUAGUAGCUGGUUCCGUCCGAAGUUUCCCUCAGGAUAGCUGGCGUCGAUGUUUGAACAGUCUCAUCCGGUAAAGCGAAUGAUUAGAGGCAUUGGGGCCGAAACGACCUCAACCUAUUCUCAAACUUUAAAUGGGUGAGAACUCCGGCUUACUCGAACGAUGAAGCCGGAGAUCUGAUGACGGUGCCAAGUGGGCCAAUUUUGGUAAGCAGAACGAGCGCUGUGGGAUGAACCAAACGUAGUGUUAAGGCGCCUAAAAAACGCUCAUGGGACACCAUGAAAGGCGUUGGUCGCUCAUGACAGCAGGACGGUGGCCAUG